Molecule: ribosomal RNA, 618 nt
Filed under: bacterium nfme09x14p9
Lineage: Bacteria
Description: bacterial SSU rRNA
Rfam family: Bacterial small subunit ribosomal RNA
Source: RNAcentral
GCUACACAUGCAGUCGAGCGGUAGCACGGGAGAGCUUGCUCUCUGGGUGACGAGCGGCGGACGGGUGAGUAAUGUCUGGGAAACUGCCUGAUGGAGGGGGAUAACUACUGGAAACGGUAGCUAAUACCGCAUGAUGUCNCAAGACCAAAGUGGGGGACCUUCGGGCCUCACGCCAUCGGAUGUGCCCAGAUGGGAUUAGCUAGUAGGUGGGGUAAUGGCUCACCUAGGCGACGAUCCCUAGCUGGUCUGAGAGGAUGACCAGCCACACUGGAACUGAGACACGGUCCAGACUCCUACGGGAGGCAGCAGUGGGGAAUAUUGCACAAUGGGCGCAAGCCUGAUGCAGCCAUGCCGCGUGUGUGAAGAAGGCCUUAGGGUUGUAAAGCACUUUCAGCGAGGAGGAAGGCAUCAAAGUUAAUANCUUUGGUGAUUGACGUUACUCGCAGAAGAAGCACCGGCUAACUCCGUGCCAGCAGCCGCGGUAAUACGGAGGGUGCAAGCGUUAAUCGGAAUUACUGGGCGUAAAGCGCACGCAGGCGGUUUGUUAAGUCAGAUGUGAAAUCCCCGAGCUUAACUUGGGAACUGCAUUUGAAACUGGCAAGCUAGAGUCUUGUAGAG